This is a long non-coding RNA of Astyanax mexicanus (Mexican tetra), 1407 nucleotides long. RefSeq lists it as uncharacterized. The record is from RefSeq and is a predicted model, not a curated record. NCBI's taxonomy places the organism in Eukaryota, Metazoa, Chordata, Actinopteri, Characiformes, Acestrorhamphidae. The transcript is spliced from 3 exons.
GCCGGAAACAAAUUCCUUGUGUGUGUAAACACUCUUGGCGAAUAAAGCUGAUGUUUAGAAAAUGUUUGAGACUGAAAAUUUUACUAAUUUCCUCAACACAGAACAAGAUCAACUGUUUCAGACCUGCAGAGAUCAAUAUUAAAGCUUUUAAACUGCAGUUUUAAUUAUUUUAAUGUAGCCGGUGGGCACUAGGACCUGGGAGGGUUGUGGGCUAAUAGGCAACCUGCCCCUUUAAGAAUAAAAAGAAGGUGACGAGGGGAGCUGCAGGUGAGCUCAUUAGUGGGCAGAGUACCUGGCCUCCAUUACGUGCUUGGGCAGCAGCAGCAAGAGAAGGUGUUGCUGGAUAGUGCAGUGUUUUAAUGAUUUAGCUGCUGUUGGUGUGCAUGUUGGAGAGGAGUGGAGACAGAGCAGAGAACUGUUUUGGGCAGGUGCUGCUGCUUCACUUGACUCUCAUCAUACAUUGGAAAGAGUAUUCAUUGUGCAAGUUCACAAGAAGGCUGGGGUGCUCCUGAUUUUCCCUUUCCCUCCAUGUGCUUCUCUCAAGACGGCAAGGGUAUGUAACAUUUUUAAUUUGGUUGAGCUAAUGAACAAAUAAAUAAAUAAAUGUUGAAUAAUUAUGUGUGUCUUGGCAGGACGUGUGCAUGGCUGAAAGUUGAGGAUAUUGGCCACUUUUCUGUUGUUUCCUGAUUUCUACUGUGUUUCUAAUCUUGUUUUCUAAUGUCAUUUCUACUGUUUUCUUAAUGGUUCUCUACUGUUUUUGAUGGUCCAUUUAUGGUUUUUUUUUUGAUAGUUUCUGUAUUUCUUUCCUUAUAAUUUCUGUAUUGAUUGCUUUAGUUUCUGCAGUUUCUUUGUUUUGUUAGUUUUUUUUGGUGCUUUAUUUAUUUAUUUGUUUGCAUUGUUUUCUGGCUAUGACUAUCUGCAUAAUUUAUUGUAGUAGCUAAGUUUUGUUUAAUUUUGUAAUUCUUUGUUUUUUUGGGUUCAAUUUUAUUAGUUUAUUUUCUUUUUUCAUUGGUUUCAGUAACUUUGUGGGGUUUUUUUUCCCAAUUAAUACUCUGCCAAACUUGAGUUUCUUUUCAUCUAGUGUGUUUUGUUGAACAGUAUUUUUGAAGUUACCAAAGAAAGAAUCCAAGCUAGUCCUCCCCAUUAUGGUUUGUUUGGUGUGGUGUGCAGUGUAGUGUUAAGCUGUGGGGUUUGUGGAUCCUUUAUUUUUGGUUUGCUUUAUUCCAUCCAAAACUGGUGUUCAUGUGCUAAAGCCAAGUAUUGUCAGUGUCAACCAAUUCAGUGGAGAUUCAUUGUGGGUUUUAUGUUUGUGUUUUGAUGAUUGUGAAUAAAAGUAUUUUUGAUAUCAAACUCUGCCUCUAUAGACUGUUUUAACACAGUCGGGAUCUGUGAAGGGGGAGGGCUUCA